Triticum urartu is the source of this 2465-nucleotide non-coding RNA. NCBI's taxonomy places the organism in Eukaryota, Viridiplantae, Streptophyta, Magnoliopsida, Poales, Poaceae. The record is from RefSeq and is a predicted model, not a curated record.
UUUUUUCACCAAAUGAAAAAGGAAUUACAGCCAUGGGCCGCCACCCGACCUGUUCAGCCACAAAUCGAACCCUUCCUCCUCCUCCUCCUCGACCGCCGCCGCCAGCGCCGCCGCCACCACCUCUGCCGUUGACCACGCCCUCCAAACGCCCCCACCCCCCGGGCUGAUCUGUGCAACCCCAUGGGGAUCUAUGGCGGUAGUGCUUGGAUCUCGGCGUCGCCUCCCUCCAGACGCUUGUGGUGUGCGAGAUGGAAGUCGCCUCCCUCCCUUCGACACCACUACCAGAACUGGUCGACGCCGCCGGUCGCGUCCCUCCUCCGCGGUGACGAGCAUGGGCGGGUUCCCCACCAUGGCUUCCUUGCCGCCAAUGGCGAGCGCGGUGCCUCCUCUCCAUGCUAUGCUCACGCUCCGUAGAUCCGUCCCAGUGGAAACUCGAUGCAGGUUCUAUCAGUGAAAGGAUUGGAGACUAGUUCUAGUAGUUGUGGUUUGUUUGAUGAAUUUCUAGUGCCCAUGAUUUGCAAAGGGUUUCAGCCAGUACUGGCGUCUAGCAACCUUGAAGCCCACAGUUGACCUGCCUCCUAAUUUGUAUGAUGAGAAAAUGUGUAGAUUGUGUGUGUAAAUCGGAGAUGCCUUGGGUUAUGCCCUCGGAGAAGAUGGAUUGGUCUUGGUGAACGAGGUGGAGGUGAUCGAAGAGGCAAUAUGCUUAUAAAUCAUCUUCACAUCGGGUAUAUUUUUCUCGGCUAUGGGUGUACAUGAUAUGUUUGCCAAAACACUUGCAAAUUAUGGCACACUUACUGGUGAGAGAUCCAUAUGCCUGAUGCCUGAAGUGGAAAAUGUACGAAUUUUAGUUCUUUUUUCAUUGUUUUGAGGUUUUAACCUGACCAGUGACAUGUCUAUGUUUUUUACAAUGUUGCAAGAUGUCCUAUAAGGCUAUUAAGGCAGAUGAUCUUCUUUUCUCCAUUGUCCAAUAUUGAAGCUUUUGUUGCCCAUCAGCAUACACCUCAUCCAGGUUCAUUUCCUAUAUACUGGUUAGAUACUGCUUCAUAGUUGCUCUAGGUGUACUUUGAUUAGCGUCAUCUACUUGUCCCAUCAUCGACAAGGUUAUAUGAUUGCGAGAGAUUAAUAACUUUUGUGAUACGCAUUCAUUUAUUAACUAAAUCAUCAACUUGCUCAAUAAUACUUUUGGGUACUCGUGUGGUGUUUAUGGCUGAUGAAAUAUGCUUUGUUUAAUAGGACUGGAGACAUUUCUGAUGCUUAGGUCAAAACACCGGACCUAUUCUUAUUUGUUUGUAAACUCAGUCCAGUAAUACAAGUUAGCAUUUUGUCUUGAUUGUUCUUGGAAUUAAAAAGGAAACCUUCUUGUUGUUCGUUCUACACCACUAAUCUGUUUAGCCAUCCUUGAGAAAGGCUCGACGGUUGGACGUGAAAACUAUAUUUGUUCUCCUUUUGCUUCUCUGGUUUAGUUUUAAAUUUAAUCUGGGUUGGUUGUUUGCAAUUGAAAAAAUGUUUGUUUCAUGGCUUCCUGUAAAUGUUGUUAGGCACUGUAGAAGCAGAAAUUUAGAAGGGAAUCACAUUACAGAAGAAGGUUCACAGGAAUGGAGCAUCACUCCUUAGCACGUCUACAGAAACAAUGGGGGUUCGUAUGUACAAUUGUGCAUAUAGCUUAGGUGAAGCGAUUUCUGAUUUGCGAAACUCUCUUUAUGUUAAGAUAAAGGGAAGAACUAUAUAAUGCUAAAUUUUCAAUUACUCCUAUAACUAUUGAAUCAAAUCAAAUCUGUUUUUAUUCUUGUGUUUGCCUGCUAUGAAAAAUGAGGUUGGGUGCUAGUGUGUAAAUAGGCAGAGUGAUUCCAGAUUUGUAACACUCUCCUUGUGUUAAGUUGAAGCAAUACAAUGAUCCAAUUUACAUUAUACAAAUUUAUUUUUAUUCUCAUGAUCAUGAAUAUUGCAGUAUUUUUUGUGUGUAAUGAAGAGUGAUUGCUUCCUUGUGGAUCACGUGCUGAAGUACCCCUUUAGACCAUUUUUAUUUAUCUUUAGACUAAUUUAACAUGUGUUAUCUUUCUGGGAAUAUAAAGUCUAUUUGCAGAUGAUAAGUCUUAUGAUUGUGCGCCUGCAGCUCCUUCUAUAGGCCUUAAAGUACCUGACACGCAGUUAUUAUGGGCCAAUGAUAAUUGAACUCCACAUUGCUUCUGUUCUACUUACUUCGCCUUUGUUUCGUUCUUGCGCCAGCAGCGCAAAGGGUGGAAUCUAGUGUACAAAAGAGUGAACAUGUAAUUUGUCUUCCUGGACAUGGUUGCAGCCAUGCGAUGUGCUUAACCAUUUGUGUAGCUCAGUUUGAAGAUAUAAAAUAUUAUUUUCUUAUGUAAAAUUUGUGUACCCUUGUAGCUGAAUGCUACUGAACACAUGUAUGGACGAUGAAGUACUGAAUUAUUAGUCUAUGAAUGUUUCUAAACUUUUAAGGUUUUGGA